RNAcentral lists this ribosomal RNA (1522 nucleotides) under Shigella dysenteriae. RNAcentral's name for it is "bacterial SSU rRNA". It matches the Rfam family "Bacterial small subunit ribosomal RNA". Lineage: Bacteria; Pseudomonadati; Pseudomonadota; Gammaproteobacteria; Enterobacterales; Enterobacteriaceae. The record is from RNAcentral.
AGAGUUUGAUCAUGGCUCAGAUUGAACGCUGGCGGCAGGCCUAACACAUGCAAGUCGAACGGUAACAGGAAGCAGCUUGCUGCUUCGCUGACGAGUGGCGGACGGGUGAGUAAUGUCUGGGAAACUGCCUGAUGGAGGGGGAUAACUACUGGAAACGGUAGCUAAUACCGCAUAAUGUCGCAAGACCAAAGAGGGGGACCUUAGGGCCUCUUGCCAUCGGAUGUGCCCAGAUGGGAUUAGCUUGUUGGUGGGGUAACGGCUCACCAAGGCGACGAUCCCUAGCUGGUCUGAGAGGAUGACCAGCCACACUGGAACUGAGACACGGUCCAGACUCCUACGGGAGGCAGCAGUGGGGAAUAUUGCACAAUGGGCGCAAGCCUGAUGCAGCCAUGCCGCGUGUAUGAAGAAGGCCUUCGGGUUGUAAAGUACUUUCAGCGGGGAGGAAGGGAGUAAAGUUAAUACCUUUGCUCAUUGACGUUAUCCGCAGAAGAAGCACCGGCUAACUCCGUGCCAGCAGCCGCGGUAAUACGGAGGGUGCAAGCGUUAAUCGGAAUUACUGGGCGUAAAGCGCACGCAGGCGGUUUGUUAAGUCAGAUGUGAAAUCCCCGGGCUCAACCUGGGAACUGCAUCUGAUACUGGCAAGCUUGAGUCUCGUAGAGGGGGGUAGAAUUCCAGGUGUAGCGGUGAAAUGCGUAGAGAUCUGGAGGAAUACCGGUGGCGAAGGCGGCCCCCUGGACGAAGACUGACGCUCAGGUGCGAAAGCGUGGGGAGCAAACAGGAUUAGAUACCCUGGUAGUCCACGCCGUAAACGAUGUCGACUUGGAGGUUGUGCCCUUGAGGCGUGGCUUCCGGAGCUAACGCGUUAAGUCGACCGCCUGGGGAGUACGGCCGCAAGGUUAAAACUCAAAUGAAUUGACGGGGGCCCGCACAAGCGGUGGAGCAUGUGGUUUAAUUCGAUGCAACGCGAAGAACCUUACCUGGUCUUGACAUCCACGGAAGUUUUCAGAGAUGAGAAUGUGCCUUCGGGAACCGUGAGACAGGUGCUGCAUGGCUGUCGUCAGCUCGUGUUGUGAAAUGUUGGGUUAAGUCCCGCAACGAGCGCAACCCUUAUCCUUUGUUGCCAGCGGUCCGGCCGGGAACUCAAAGGAGACUGCCAGUGAUAAACUGGAGGAAGGUGGGGAUGACGUCAAGUCAUCAUGGCCCUUACGACCAGGGCUACACACGUGCUACAAUGGCGCAUACAAAGAGAAGCGACCUCGCGAGAGCAAGCGGACCUCAUAAAGUGCGUCGUAGUCCGGAUUGGAGUCUGCAACUCGACUCCAUGAAGUCGGAAUCGCUAGUAAUCGUGGAUCAGAAUGCCACGGUGAAUACGUUCCCGGGCCUUGUACACACCGCCCGUCACACCAUGGGAGUGGGUUGCAAAAGAAGUAGGUAGCUUAACCUUCGGGAGGGCGCUUACCACUUUGUGAUUCAUGACUGGGGUGAAGUCGUAACAAGGUAACCGUAGGGGAACCUGCGGUUG